This is a long non-coding RNA of Rhipicephalus sanguineus (brown dog tick), 370 nucleotides long. RefSeq lists it as uncharacterized. The record is from RefSeq and is a predicted model, not a curated record. The transcript has 3 exons. Lineage: Eukaryota; Metazoa; Arthropoda; Arachnida; Ixodida; Ixodidae.
UCAGCAAAAUCGAGGUUGCUCUUUCUUCUCGAGAUGGAACUGGAGUAAGCCUCCUUGACGUCCGCCCUACAGGUUCCGAUCCACUUCCCACAAUUGUGGAUCCCGUAUACACCGUUAUCUAUGUCACGACAAGCUGCAUUAUUUUACGCGACGACAAGACAAUGUUCUUAGACAAUCCAAUUUUCUUUUUGUGGCAGCAUGAAAACGUCCAAAACAACGACACUGAUGACUGUCUGGAGGUAUAUGAAUACAUAUCAAGUCGCUGCGGUUUCGAUUCUCACGCUAAAUGCGAUGGCUGCUGUGAUAGUAUGCCUCAAGUAAUGCAUACUAUUAGCGGCAGUCAGUGUGGCUUUACACUAAGCAACGCAGA